UGGGGAAUUUUGCACAAUGGGGGAAACCCUGAUGCAGCGACGCCGCGUGAUUUAGAAGGCCUUCGGGUUGUAAAAAUCUUUUUUACGGGAUGAAAAUGACAGUACCGUAAGAAUAAGGUCCGGCUAAAUACGUGCCAGCAGCCGCGGUAAUACGUAUGGACCGAGUGUUGUCCGGAAUCAUUGGGCGUAAAGGGUACGUAGGCGGCCUAAUAAGUUAGAAGUGAAAGAAUAUAGCUCAACUAUAUAAAGCUUUUAAAACUGUUAGGCUUGAGAGAUGAAAGGGAAAGUGGAAUUCCUAGUGUAGCGGUGAAAUGCGCAGAUAUUAGGAAGAAUACCGGUGGCGAAGGCGACUUUCUGGUCAUCAUCUGACGCUGAGGUACGAAAGCGUGGGUAGCAAACAGG
This 402-nucleotide ribosomal RNA is filed under the name bacterium. RNAcentral's name for it is "partial 16S ribosomal RNA". It matches the Rfam family "Bacterial small subunit ribosomal RNA", at positions 355 to 776 of the family's 1533-position model. The record is from RNAcentral.